GGGGCUGUAGCUCAGUUGGCAGAGCGCGUGGCUCGCAUUCACGAGGCCAGGGGUUCGAAUCCCCUCAGCUCCA
This 73-nucleotide transfer RNA is filed under the name Acidobacteriota bacterium. RNAcentral's name for it is "tRNA-Ala". It matches the Rfam family "tRNA". Rfam says of the family: Transfer RNA (tRNA) molecules are approximately 80 nucleotides in length. Their secondary structure includes four short double-helical elements and three loops (D, anti-codon, and T loops). Further hydrogen bonds mediate the characteristic L-shaped molecular structure. tRNAs have two regions of fundamental functional importance: the anti-codon, which is responsible for specific mRNA codon recognition, and the 3' end, to which the tRNAs corresponding amino acid is attached (by aminoacyl-tRNA synthetases). tRNAs cope with the degeneracy of the genetic code in two manners: having more than one tRNA (with a specific anti-codon) for a particular amino acid; and 'wobble' base-pairing, i.e. permitting non-standard base-pairing at the 3rd anti-codon position. The record is from RNAcentral. Lineage: Bacteria; Pseudomonadati; Acidobacteriota. RNAcentral also lists the same sequence under 3 other names.